Molecule: long non-coding RNA, 313 nt
Organism: Mauremys reevesii (Reeves's turtle)
Lineage: Eukaryota; Metazoa; Chordata; Testudines; Geoemydidae
Exons: 3
Source: RefSeq, a predicted model, not a curated record
CUUUGUCAGAGAACCGCAGCCCUUGCACUUGCAUGAUUAAGAACCUUUCUUUGGUUCAUUAUUGAGGAUGAGAGACUGCUUUAAAGGUUUGGACCUACUAAAAGAAAAAAAAAGUAAAAUGCAAUCCAAAGAAGCUAUGGGAAUGAUCCUGUUUCCUUUGAAGAAUAUGGCAAAAGACUUCUUGAUGCCAAAUGGAAGCAAGAUUGGACCUGCUAUGGUAGAUUAAACAAUUAUGAGAGUCAGAAUGAGAUGGGGUUCAAAGAGGAGCAAUGAGAAUGAUGAAUGGCCUGGAAUACAUCAAUCUGAAGGAAGA